UGCAGAUCUCAGAGAAAGACAGUGCACAGCAAUGGGGCCAAAGGGGACGAAGCACUCAAAGCACUUUGAGUCACACUUCUCCUGGAGAACUAGAGGGGGAAAGGCGAUAAAUAAGACUGCGGCCCAAAGUAAAUGAUAAGCAUUGCUAUUUGGAGGCUACACAUUCGCUGAGGGGCUGACUCCAGCAGGGUUGUCUCCAGUCCACAUGGGUUGAAUGCUGACUGCGGCUACUUCCUUAGAAGGCAUAAAUCAGAGCUGUAACCUACUUCACACCAGUCUAGCAAGUGCCCAC
Molecule: long non-coding RNA, 292 nt
Filed under: Fukomys damarensis (Damara mole-rat)
Lineage: Eukaryota; Metazoa; Chordata; Mammalia; Rodentia; Bathyergidae
Description: lncRNA (ENSFDAG00000024028.1)
Source: RNAcentral